Molecule: long non-coding RNA, 1752 nt
Organism: Helicoverpa armigera (cotton bollworm)
Lineage: Eukaryota; Metazoa; Arthropoda; Insecta; Lepidoptera; Noctuidae
Exons: 4
Source: RefSeq, a predicted model, not a curated record
UUGUAAUUGAAUUGUAAAUUAUCUUCCGGCAGAUAACUCUAUUUAAAAAAUGAAGCUUUAGAAAGCAAUGAUAUACCUCUUAAUAUCGGAAAUUAUCGGAGUUAUCCAGUUUUUCGGUUAUUUUAUGAACUGCUAGCAACACUUGAACGAAAUGUCAAAAUAUUUAACAUUGGAAUCAAGAUUCGACAAUCAAAAUGAAAUGUAAACAAACAAAUGAAAGCUUAUAAGUAUGUAUAACUGUUUUGUUAUUUUUAUGGUUCUUAUAUGACUACUAAUUGGUUACCCAGCUAAUAAAUGAACACAUUCUUCAGCACGGAAAAAAACUGAAUCACAUUCGUGUGGUAUUUCGCAGUGCCUUAUUAUAAACAGUGUGGUGAUGAGGGGUUCCAGAUUUCCAGAUUUCCGCAAGCUAUGUGAGUAGAAGCGAGCACAAGUGUGACUACCGAAUUGGAUGAACCACGGACAGUAUCCAGUUAUUCACCAUAAAUUAAUGAUACCAACAGGCUUUAGUAUGAACGAAACUAAAACAGACAAUGUGUUAUUAAUGGGAUAAUAUUUAUUUGAAAUGCCACUGACAUUUCAUCAAUGAAUACUCUGCUCAAUGAAGUAUAAGCAUGCUUCGAACUAAGUAUAGUAUGAAUAUAAGUAUUACCACUUAUAGAGAAACUGUUUAGUUCAAAGAAGAACCAUUGACGUGAAGAAAACAAGGAAAUAGCAUGCAAGAAAGUGCCCUGAAGUCAGGAGUGUCACACAAUAAGUCAUCAAGAAUAAUAUGUGCCAUUAAUUUGAAAGAUUUCCAAGAAGUGGCAGUGAAAAGUUUUACAUGAAUAUUACUGAAAUAACCGACUGAUCAACAGGUCAAACUAAAGCUCAAGAUUAUUUAUUCAAACUUGGCUGCAGCACAGCACCUUUGGAACUUAAUAAUUUACCAAAGGCAACCCGAAAAUGAUCUCAUCCUUGAACACUUCCUAUGUGUUUUUAAUGGGAAGAAGUGGCAUAGCAAACUCCUCAGACCCAUGUCUAUAUGUAGUCUAGAAGAACCUUCCAACAAUGUUUUUUAGUUUUGCAUACAAUAUGCAAUAUGGAUAUAAUUGUAUAAAUGUUUUUUAAAAACAGAAUAAACUUAUAGAAUCACCGAGCCACCUCAAGCAAAAUUGUAGCCAAGUAGUCCAAUACAUGUAUAAUAUGUGUGUAGUUUGUGUGCAAGCAAAACAAAAUAAAAUGAAAUAAACAAAACAUUUAUUUGAAAAAAAAGGAACUCAAGAUUCAAUGGUAUUUUUGUGAGAGGGGGAAAGUAAUAUAAAGAACCUCUGUGGAAAAUCAUUCAGUAAUAUCUUGUAAUCCAGAAUUGAGACUGAGUAUAUGAUGGACCUGCUAUGGGUGUUUUCAAGAGUUGGUGGUCGACUGCUGCAGUGUCAUACCAUACCAAAUAUCUCCACGCAAUAAAUGAAACAGAGCUAAAAUCAUAUGGGUUAGUACCAAAAGCACUCGUACCGCUUCGCCAUAGUCUCAGCACCAGAUCCUGCCAUGAUGAUAAUGGAACUACAUAUUCAUAGUUUUCAUUGUGAUUGUUUUACUUACGCUAGAAACAAAUGAAGGAAACAAAAGUGCAGCAGUAAUGACUACCUAAUGCUGUACCGUAAACAGUUUAAAUACUUUGCAUGUUACUUACAACAACUUUACCUUACCUAUGUUACAAGGUAAAGUGUAUUGAUACCAUAUUGAGACACCAGAAAAAUUUCCAUCCUACUU